Molecule: ribosomal RNA, 392 nt
Filed under: uncultured bacterium
Lineage: Bacteria
Description: partial 16S ribosomal RNA
Rfam family: Bacterial small subunit ribosomal RNA
Source: RNAcentral
AUACGGAGGAUCCGAGCGUUAUCCGGAUUUAUUGGGUUUAAAGGGUGCGCAGGCGGCCAUUUAAGUCAGCGGUUAAAUCGUGGGGCUCAACCCCAUUCUGCCGUUGAUACUGGGUGGCUUGAUUGCGGUCGAGGUUGGCGGAAUUCGUUGUGUAGCGGUGAAAUGCAUAGAUAUGACGAAGAACACCGAUUGCGUAGGCAGCUGACCAGAUCGCAAAUGACGCUCAUGCACGAAAGUGCGGGGAUCGAACAGGAUUAGAUACCCUGGUAGUCCGCACAGUAAACGAUGAAUACUUGUUUUCGGCGAUAUAAUGUCGGAGGCAAAGCGAAAGCGAUAAGUAUUCCACCUGGGGAGUACGCCGGCAACGGUGAAACUCAAAUGAAUUGACGGGU